This 16-nucleotide small RNA is filed under the name Arabidopsis thaliana (thale cress). Its description in RNAcentral is "ATSL183990". Lineage: Eukaryota; Viridiplantae; Streptophyta; Magnoliopsida; Brassicales; Brassicaceae. The record is from RNAcentral.
CCAGUGUUCCACCAAC